RNAcentral lists this ribosomal RNA (253 nucleotides) under uncultured bacterium. Its description in RNAcentral is "partial 16S ribosomal RNA". It matches the Rfam family "Bacterial small subunit ribosomal RNA", at positions 524 to 776 of the family's 1533-position model. The record is from RNAcentral.
UACAGAGGGUGCAAGCGUUGUUCGGAAUUAUUUGGCGUAAAGCGCGUGUAGGCGGCCAUGCAAGUCGGGUGUGAAAGCCCUCGGCUCAACCGAGGAAGAGCGCCCGAAACUGCAAGGCUUGAGUACCGGAGAGGGUGGCGGAAUUCCCCAAGUAGAGGUGAAAUUCGUAGAUAUGGGGAGGAACACCGGUGGCGAAGGCGGCCACCUGGACGGAUACUGACGCUGAGACGCGAAAGCGUGGGGAGCAAACAGG